RNAcentral lists this non-coding RNA (305 nucleotides) under Pontibacillus marinus. RNAcentral's name for it is "T-box sequence". It matches the Rfam family "T-box leader". From Rfam's summary of the family: Uncharged tRNA acts as the effector for transcription antitermination of genes in the T-box leader family. T-boxes are found upstream of many aminoacyl-tRNA synthetase genes and some amino acid biosynthetic genes usually in Gram-positive bacteria. The record is from RNAcentral. Lineage: Bacteria; Bacillati; Bacillota; Bacilli; Caryophanales; Bacillaceae.
UGAAUAGCUAUGAUGGGAAGAGUAAUUCUGAACAUGCUUUUACAGAGAGCUUCGUUAGGUGAAAGGAAGCAAAGCAAAGACAGAAUGAACAUGGCCCCUGAGCUUCACAUCGAAAUCGAGCGAGAGUAGAAUGUGACGAGAUUUGGCACUCGUUAUCAAUGCCAGAGUAUAAGAACAGCGUAGGGCUGUGAUCGAAAAGAUUAACUUUUUAUCACUAAUCGUAUGACUGUUCCGUACUUAUGGAGCCUGGUAAUGUGAAUUACUAGGAAAUUAAGGUGGUACCACGAGUAAAGCUCGUCCUUUGA